RNAcentral lists this long non-coding RNA (872 nucleotides) under Mus musculus (house mouse). Its description in RNAcentral is "long non-coding RNA chr17:20988850-20989722". The record is from RNAcentral. Lineage: Eukaryota; Metazoa; Chordata; Mammalia; Rodentia; Muridae.
GCCCUAGAAGUGGUCAGAAACACCGCCUGAGAGCAGCUCAAAGAGGCCUACGAACCAGGAGACUUGAUGAUACCACACCAGUUCCAGGUGGGAGAUGCAGUUCUCGUCUGACGACAUCGAGCUGAGAAUCUGAAACCUUGUUAAAAAGGCCCUUGCAUCGUGCUACUGACCACCCCCACUGCUGUCAAAGAAGAAGGCAUCUAUUCAUGCCUUUCACGUAAAGCGAGCUCCUAAAGAAUAAACCCCCUUUGUUGACCACUCUCAUUUCUACUCUGAUAGACCCUCUAAUAAUUUUGCUCUUACUGCUGACGUGUGGCCCACUAAUUUUUAAUAAUCUAAUGACCUUUGUUAGAGAGAGGGUUGGUGCUGUCCAGCUGUUAGUAUUAAGAUAACAAUACCAGUCUCUGCAGAACCUUGAAAAAGAGGUUGCAGUUUAGUUCUAAGAUUAGAACUAGUAACUAGAAGAAGUGGGGAAUGAAAGAUCCUGGCAGAAUGUAAAAGGACACAGAAGCCCUGAAAUUGGCAAGAUAGACAUCAGUGUUAGCAGAACUAGCUUCACUGAUUUAGAAAAAUAGAGGUGCACAAUGCUCUGGCCACUCCUUGAACCUGUGUGUCUGCCAAUGUUCUGACCAGGUGUGUGCCCAUUGCUGCACCUUCAUUAGACUCUUUCCUUGUACCCCUCCCAUACCCAUUUCUUGAGAAUAGACAUUGUUUAGAUCUGGAAAUCCCCUAAUCUCCCCCUUCUCCUUUCCCCCCUGAGGGCCUAUAAAAACUGGGAACUCUUUCCCCUCGAGGACGACUCCUCUACCCCUGCGUGGGAUAUGAGUCGUCCCCAGAGCUCUGGCUUUCCCCGAAUAAAGCCUCAUGUGGUU